GGGGGGGGGGGGGGGGGGGUCUUUCUCAUGGGUACCCAUGUAUUUCCAUGGAAAUAUAACAUUUAUUUGGAAAGUAAUAAACAUAUAGAUAUUUUUAAAAGCAUUCAUGAUUUGCGUAAAUGUAAUAUACUACUAUUGCUUUGUUAAAAAUAUGAAAUGGUAUUACAUUUGGUAAAGAGCACAUUAUGACUUGUUUAGGACUCGAGACCUGACUCGGACUUGCCUGUCUCGACUUGGGACUUGACUUGGGACUUACUUGUGACUUGUAAAACAAUGACAUGGUCCCAAUAUUGUGCCAGUGUAAGGUUGUAUGCUUUUUCUGGAGGUAUACAAUCUUUAAUGUGCGUCUUACUGUCGUUGAGAUUCAGGCCAUUGUAGUGUUUACUAUUUGUUGACUAAAUGAGUGGAUUGUAUGACAAGGUUCAGUAUGGCUCCAAUUGUGAUGUUUAUCUAACUAUCUGGCUUUACAAAACUGGAACAACAAGACUACACUAGAUCAGACCCACAGGCCCACAUGAUACACAGUGAGGGAGUGGUGUGUACCACUGGUCUGGACAGCAGUUAGUUUGUUGGUGCAAUAUUCACUCUCCCAGAGAUUGAGCUUUGAUUGGUUCUCACAUGCGAGAUAUUUGCAUGCAAAAUGCUCCUCACUUCCUAAUCAGUUUGCCUCGCCCCAACUAGAGAUAGACAAACAGGUAGCUAGUUCAUGAUUCUUUCAUUUUGAAAAGGGGAUACCAAUGUAGCAUGCCACUUUGAAGUCGCAGCCCCUUCAUUUUCAAUGCAACUUGCCGACAACAUCAAAGAGCCUUCCCAGACUCUAGAGUAAAACAGAUGUGUAUCUUAUGCCAGACUAACACUAAAAGCCAUUCCACAAUAAUCUCUCAGAUUAACUGUAGAUGUAAAUAGUAUGAAGCGUACGAUACCUCUGAAAAACUAAACUCAUCAAGAGUGUUAAGACAGGAAACAUUUAGUCUGUUAUUUCCUUGUAUUUAAUAGGAUUCUACUGUGUGUGUGUGUGUGUGUGUGUGUGUGUGUGUGUGUGUGUGUGUGUGUGUGUGUGUGUGUGUGUGUGUGUGUGUGUGUGUGUGUGUGUAUUAUGUACAGUACCUAUUAUCAUAUUUAUAAUAGUAUCCGUAGUAUUGUAACGUUCGUUCUCCUCCUCGUCUGAGGAGGAGCAAGGAUCGGACCAAUAUUGUCACGUUCCUGACCUGUUUUCUGUUGUUUUUGUAUGUGUUUAGUUGGUCAGGGCGUAAGUUGGGGUGGGCAUUCUAUGUUAUGUGUUUCUAUGUUAUGUUAAGUGUGUUGCCUGAUAUGGUUCUCAAAUAGAGGCAGGUGUUUGACGUUUCCUCUGAUUGAGAACCAUAUUAAGGUAGGCUGUUCUCACUGUUUGUUUGUGGGUGAUUGUUCCUGUGUCUGUUUGCACCACAUGGGACUGUCCUUCUCUCCUGUCGUCUUUUUGCAAGGAAGGCUUCCGUGUCCUGCCAAGAUUUCCUCCCAAGUCCAGGAUAUAUUCUCCUCGAUCUCCUCCCAAGCCCAGGAUGCAAUCUCCUCCUGCUGCUUGGUCCUGGUGUGGUGGGAUCUUCUGUCACGAUCGUCGGUGUAAUCAUACUCAGACCAAAGCGCAGCGUGGAAUUGGGUUCGACAUAUUUUAAUGAUAGGUGAACCGCACAACAAAACAAUAAAGAAUAUACGAUACGUGAAGCUCAAGCAGUGCUCACAGGCAACUGCACAGAAACAAGAUCCCACAAAAACACAGUGGGGAAAAUGGCUGCCUAAAUAUGAUCCCCAAUCAGAGUCAACGAUAAACAGCUGCCUCUGAUUGGGAACCAUACCAGGGGCCUGUUGCACAAAAGUAGAAUUAAGACAUCCGGGAUAAAUGACUCAGCUGAGCUCAAUGAAGCCAAAACAUGUGCGUCCAGGCUUAAUUGGUUGCACAAAGACCAAGCCAGGAUGAGCAGACACGGAUUCAUUAAGCCAGGUGAAACCAAUCCUGGAUAGGUGCGCGCUCACGGCUCACUCAAAUAGACCCCGCCACAGAUCACAGAUUAACUGAUUUACCAUGGCAACUAGAGCCGCGUACUUUUCCCCGUCGGAAGCACAAAUCCUCAUGGAGGCAUACGAGGAGGUAAAAGAUAUAAUUAAGAAGAAAGGCAACACCGCCACAGUGAUAAAGCAAAGAGAAAAAGCGUGGCAAAGUAUUGCAGAACGCCUGAAUGCGUAAGUAGUGCACAAUUACACAGUCACCGCUCCGCUGAAACAUCACAAUUACAAUUCAAAUAUUUAAUUCACAUCUCCAAAAAUGCAGUUGUACUGUAAUUAUGAAACGGUUAAAUUUUUUAUUGAAAUGCACUGCAGAUAUGAGUGAAAUUGUGUAAAGUAACUCCAUCACACUGUAUAAAGCUAUGAUAAAUUUUUUGAUAUUUUUACUGAAAACAAGACAAAAAUACCAAGUAAUUUUUUGCAGUGUGACUCCAUUAAAUGUGUGUGUGUGUGUGUGUGUGUGUAGAUUAAACAUGAACGGGCCAAAACGGACAUGGCAGCAGGUCAAAAUCAAAUACAAGAACAUUCUGCAGAAUGCAGUGAAAAAGAAUACCCACAGACAAGGCACGGGUGGUGGGUCACCAAAGGCUGACCUUACCCCAGCAGAGGACAUGGCCUUGGAGCUAAAUAAAGGCAGGCCCGUCUUAGAGGGGAUCCCUGGGGGGAAAGAGACGAGCAUAGGUUCCUCCCAAGAUGCCACCCGCUUCAUUCAAGGUAUGUCCUUCCAUCUCUACAUGGGAUACAACCACAUUCAUAUUGAAUCAAUUUGGACUGUCUGACUUUGAUUUACCUAUUGCCUUGCAGUGUCUGGCAGCACUGUGUUCCUGUUAGAGCCACCAGCACAAGCACCAGACGAUGCUGAUCCAGUGAGUACUCCAUCAAAGGCAUACUGUAGGCCUGGCAUGUCUUGUCUACUAGCUUCAAUAUGAAUCCGAUUAAAUGUGAUAGGGUGAAGGCCCCAGUGCAGCAGCAACAGCACAUGAUGGAGACGAUGAUGAGGAGGAGACCAUCUCUCUGGAUUCCAGAAGGCAUGAGGACCCAGAUGCUAUACAGUGGGAAAAACAGCCUGGCAACAUAGUGCGUAUUAAUAAAAUGACACCACAUCCUGCCAAAUUCCAGCUGCGCUAAUUGUAUUGUGUUCACAGAGCUCACAAGCUAUCAGAAAGUUGUAUGGCAACCACCUCCGGCACCAAAUAGAACUGGCAGACAUAGACAUUCAGUACAAGAAGAAAAAGAUGGAAAAUCUUGCACUGGAGUCCGAAAUAAAAAAGAGGACAAUUAGGAAACUGGACCUUGAAAUAAAAAAACUUGAGAGGGAGCUCCAAGAAGAUGACACAGCUCAAAAUAAAAAUUAGGUAUAUUCUCGUAAAGUCAAGUGAGCCAUGACAUAUGAGCUCUUAUUGUGAGCACACAGGACGGUGGCAUCUUUCUAAGUUUUUUUUUAUUUUCCCAGCAAUCAGUACAACCAAGUCAUCGUUAUAAGGCAUCGCCCUCUUUUGCCCACCCCCCCAGCACCAGGUGUGGCCACUAGCCUAUAUGAAGGCCCAAAAUUGUGUGUUCCUUUCUGCUCUGACAAUGGCAUGCCCAUUCGUGCGAGAUGUGGUGGAUGAAGAAGCACUUGUGCUGAGGAGAGCCUUAAGGCGAGAAAGGGUCUUCAGGGACCGGUUGGACCCACUGGCCUUCCCUGAUGACCAUCUAUAUGAAAGAUACAGGUUUUCUGCAGAUGGCAUCAGGUAUCUAUGCAGACUACUGGGUCCCAGGAUUAAGCACCGCACUGCACGGAGCCAUGCACUGAGUGUGGAGCAAAUGGUUUGUGUGGCCUUGCGCUUUUUUGCUAGUGGAGCCUUCCUGUACUCAGUGGGGGAUGCAGAACAGCUGAACAAGGCCACAAUUUGCCGCACAAUAAGGAGUGUGUGUCUGGCUAUCAAAGCAUUAGCAGAUGUCUUCAUAUCCUUCCCUGGCCACAGAAGACUCUGUGACAUCAAAGAGGAGUUCUAUAGGAUUGCAGAUGGUCUGCAAUGCUGACUGUGUGAUCAGCAAUGUUGUGGCAAAAUGGCCUGGCUCAGUCCAUGACUCCAGAAUCUUUCGGGCCUCUGAAAUCUAUCAGUGCCUAUCACAAGGUGAAUUCUCUGGUGUGUUGCUGGGAGACAGGGGGUAUGGCUGCCAGCCUUUUCUCCUGACACCUUUCACAGACCCCCAGGAAGCACAGCAGGCCUACAACCAUGCCCAUGCCAGGACCAGGGCCAGAGUUGAAAUGACCUUUGGCCUCCUGAAGGCACGCUUUCACUGCCUUCACAAAUUAAGGGUCAGCCCUGUUAGGGCAUGUGAUAUUACUGUGGCUUGUGCUGUCCUCCACAAUGUGGCCUGCCUGAGGAAGGAGAGGGCCCCCAGAGUGCCACCAGCCAUGGACUGGGACAAUCCGGCAAUCUUCCCUGAUGACGACAGUGGUCGGCUGCUGAGGGACCAAUAUGUGUUGAAUUAUUUUAGUUAGUAUGUGUGCUUUCAAUUUUGGUUAAAUAUGUCCUGCGGUGGCAGAGGAAUUUGGUUUUUUUUGGGUUUGUUUUUUUACGAAUUUGGUCUCUUAUGAUGUUUGUGCGGUAUACUGUGUGUAAUACAAGGCUGCAGGGAGGCUACUGCAUCCAUUCAUUUGUCUGUUCAGUUGUGUAUGGAUUUGUCCUGCAUUUAUUUUAGUGUGCAGACAUGCAGGGUGUGUUAUAUACAGACCUUUGAAUGUGUAUGUAUCAUUUUGUAUAAUAUGCUUGGAUUCUGUGCUUUCCAUCUUGUAGAGUCACUGUGACUUCAGUUUCGAAAGGAGCUGACGGUUUACCUGCUUUGUUUUGUCCUUAUUCAAUAAAGGAACAUAAUGUUACACAUUGUGUUUUUAUAUUCA
Molecule: RNA transcript, 4930 nt
Organism: Salvelinus fontinalis (brook trout)
Lineage: Eukaryota; Metazoa; Chordata; Actinopteri; Salmoniformes; Salmonidae
Gene name: putative nuclease HARBI1
Exons: 6
Source: RefSeq, a predicted model, not a curated record